Molecule: long non-coding RNA, 243 nt
Organism: Sinocyclocheilus rhinocerous
Lineage: Eukaryota; Metazoa; Chordata; Actinopteri; Cypriniformes; Cyprinidae
Exons: 3
Source: RefSeq, a predicted model, not a curated record
UGAGGAGGAUAGAAAUGAAGAAGAGAUUGCAGUGUUUGAGAAGCAUCCUGCUCAUAGGGACAUGGCUCUUGAAGAGACGAUUGAUUAUGAGGCAUAUGAUCCAGACACACAUUAUGGCACUAGUUUUGUGGUCCCUGUCGCUGGUUUCCUCUGUAAGCUGUGUCAUAAAUUCUACCACUUUGAGUCUUCUGCACGGGAAACUCACUGCAGAUCUCUUAUGCACUUCCAGAACUUACAGGUGAA